Molecule: non-coding RNA, 363 nt
Organism: Apodemus sylvaticus (European woodmouse)
Lineage: Eukaryota; Metazoa; Chordata; Mammalia; Rodentia; Muridae
Source: the annotation of a RefSeq genome assembly
UCACUGAGCCACAAGGUACUUACCAUGAAGUGCCACUGGGUCAUCUUCCUGAUAGUAGUUGUUACAGGGGUCAACUCAAAUGUCCAGCUGCAGCAGUCUGGGUCUGAGCUUGUAGGUCCAGGGACAUCAGUGAAGUUGUCCUGCAAAGCUUCUGGUUGCACCUCUAUUAACUACUUUAUGCACUGGGUGAAGCCAAGGCCUGAAGAUGGGCUGGAGUGGAUUGGAAUGAUUGACCCUGAGAAUGAUAAUCAAAUAUGUACUCAGAAGUUCCAGGGCAAGACCACUCUGACUGUAGACACAUCCUCCAACACAGCCUACAUGCAGCUGAGCGGCUGACAUCUGAGGACACUGCCAUCUAUUACU